RNAcentral lists this ribosomal RNA (250 nucleotides) under uncultured bacterium. RNAcentral describes it as "partial 16S ribosomal RNA". It matches the Rfam family "Bacterial small subunit ribosomal RNA", at positions 524 to 773 of the family's 1533-position model. The record is from RNAcentral.
UACGAAGGGGGCUAGCGUUGUUCGGAUUUACUGGGCGUAAAGCGCACGUAGGCGGCUUGUUAAGUCAGAGGUGAAAUCCCAGGGCUCAACCCUGGAACUGCCUUUGAUACUGGCAAGCUCGAGUAUGGUAGAGGUUGGUGGAACUCCGAGUGUAGAGGUGAAAUUCGUAGAUAUUCGGAAGAACACCAGUGGCGAAGGCGGCCAACUGGACCAUUACUGACGCUGAGGUGCGAAAGCGUGGGGAGCAAAC